CAUUCAACCGACUCGACUUCAUACGCCAGCCAACUCCGUCAUCAGCAGCUACUCUGAACAUCAUCAUUAUGAAGGUCCUCGUCCUCCUCGUUCUUGUUGGAUUCGCCGCCUACCAGGUGACAGAGGCUCGUAUGAACGCCUUCUCCUGCUCCGAUGACUGCUUCAGCUACCUUGAAGGACCAUACUGCAUCUCCAACGGCUCCGUCGUGUGUGACAACUGCGUCAGGGACAAGAUGCUCUGCCAGGAUCUCUCUUUAGCUUCAAAAGAUUGCAAUAGCGCAUGCGAUUAGAUGGAAUGACUGAAGGUGACUUGCAGAGCCCUGAAGGAAAAGUAAAGAAUCAUUCUUUCACCUGAAUAAAUAAUAUGCAUUUA
Molecule: long non-coding RNA, 373 nt
Organism: Haliotis rubra (blacklip abalone)
Lineage: Eukaryota; Metazoa; Mollusca; Gastropoda; Lepetellida; Haliotidae
Exons: 3
Source: RefSeq, a predicted model, not a curated record